AGGCAAUCAAGCAAAUCUUUCUUUAUGCCAGCAAAGUCCAAAAGUUAUCAUCAGCACCUUUAGGUCAGUGGUAUCCUAAGGGAAUUCAGAUAAAUCUCUGGGAUACUCUAUUUUCUUCCUUUUUGCCUGAGAAGAACAGCAGCCAGCAACUGUAGUGCAAACCCAAUACUUUCUUCAGACAGAAACGUGACUCUCAGACAUCAAGCAAAUCUGAAGUCUGGUAUUAUCAGACUUACCUCAUUACAACUUUGUCAAUUACCUUUUUUCAUGUAGCUGGCAGUGACGAGAGAUUUCUUGUGCAGAGAAUGCAAAGCUCAAAGAAGCUGAUAUGUUGUGAGCUUCCAGUCUUUUUUUGUCUCUGGACUGGUUCCUGGUUCCUGCUUUAAGACGAGAACUCACCUCCCUGGCUCUGGUAAGUCUCCUCCACUCACCAAAGCAAUGCUUCACUCUCUCUCAAUAUUAGUAGUGAAGUUCUGUGCCUCCAUGCAAAUUUC
This 494-nucleotide long non-coding RNA is filed under the name Crocodylus porosus (Australian saltwater crocodile). Its description in RNAcentral is "lncRNA (ENSCPRG00005006389.1)". Lineage: Eukaryota; Metazoa; Chordata; Crocodylia; Crocodylidae. The record is from RNAcentral.